CAGCCGCCGCGGGAAAACAGAGGGUGCAAGCGUUAAUCGGAAUUACUGGGCGUAAAGCGCGCGUAGGUGGUUUGUUAAGUUGGAUGUGAAAUCCCCGGGCUCAACCUGGGAACUGCAUCCAAAACUGGCAAGCUAGAGUAUGGUAGAGGGUGGUGGAAUUUCCUGUGUAGCGGUGAAAUGCGUAGAUAUAGGAAGGAACACCAGUGGCGAAGGCGACCACCUGGACUGAUACUGACACUGAGGUGCGAAAGCGUGGGAAGCAAACAGGAUUAGAUACCCCCGUAGUCCCUGUCUCUUAUAC
RNAcentral lists this ribosomal RNA (301 nucleotides) under uncultured bacterium. Its description in RNAcentral is "partial 16S ribosomal RNA". It matches the Rfam family "Bacterial small subunit ribosomal RNA", at positions 509 to 807 of the family's 1533-position model. The record is from RNAcentral.